CGUUAAAACACCGCUUCCUCUACAAUCACUGAAGUUAAGUAAUGUCGAGCCUGGUCAGUACAUAGAUGGGUGACCGCUUGGAAAUACCAGAUGUUGCAAG
This is a non-coding RNA of Acanthosepion pharaonis, 100 nucleotides long. The record is from the annotation of a GenBank genome assembly. Lineage: Eukaryota; Metazoa; Mollusca; Cephalopoda; Sepiida; Sepiidae.